RNAcentral lists this long non-coding RNA (1130 nucleotides) under Equus caballus (horse). RNAcentral describes it as "lncRNA (ENSECAG00000059599.1)". The record is from RNAcentral. Lineage: Eukaryota; Metazoa; Chordata; Mammalia; Perissodactyla; Equidae.
GACUGUUAAAGAGGCUCUCAUUUCGGGAGUCGGGACUUUCAGGAGCCCUACUGUGGCCUGGUGAUAAGGAGUGAUGUCCCAAGAGAGUGACCAUCAACUGACCAGGAAGGUGGGACACGUUUUGAAGAGCAUGAAUGUGACUCUGGAAAUGGAGGCAGCUGGAGUGGUUUACAAGCAUAGAGGCAAUUUCCAGCGUAGUCACAUGCAGCUCCAAGAAGUUAAUUCGGGUGAUGAGAGGUGGUGUUUUAGCGAGAGUGGGUAUUUCAAUUUUAGAUUUAAUAACACAUUGUGAUAAUUGUGGCUGAUUGUCAUACCUAAAGUGACCCAGAGAUAAUGAAACUUAAAAGGAAUGACUUACGUUCUUCAGUUCCUACCUUCUCACUAACCUCUCCGUCCGAGUUUUAAAAUAUCCUCGAGGACGCCAUUUGGGACUACCACAGAGGAGCCUAAAUUUGGGGAGAGAAACUCAUUCCGAGUAGUAAGGAAAGAACUGGGUGAAUUGGGGGCACUUGCUGCAGCCUCUGCUAAAUGGCUUCCCAACCUGAGAGGGACUUCUGCCUGUUACUUGGGCACAAGGCAGGACCUGGAGGAAUUCAUUUGAACUCUGUGGUCAGCAAGGAGCGUCUUGGAAGGUGGAGGAAGUUGGAAGGUUGAGAAUGACUAAUGAAAAAUAGAACGAUAUGCUGUAACACAAGCUGAACAAUGAGGGACAUUUAAUCUGGAGAGCCAGAGCCCAGGAAGCCAGCUGCGACUUGGAUGUAAUCUUUCUAAAAUAUGAAGGUCACAGUAAAAUGAAUCAGCCUUGUGAAUUUUUUUUUUUUUUACCUAUUACCUAACACAGGAGGAGGAACAUAACUGAAUUUGAAAACCACAAUUAUAUCAGGAGAAGAAAGUCCUUUGUGAGCUGUGCCACAGAUGAUGGCAUUGGAUGCUAUAGGUGGUCGAGAAGAAAUCCAGAUCUCCCGGCUGCAUAGUAACAUCAGGGCCUCACAGAUGUGCGUUCCGGGCCCAGGCCUAAGUCCUGCCAGACACAUUCUUGAGGCAGUUGCUGUGCUCGGAAAGUUUCCAAGUGGCUGCCAACACUGAGGACAGUUCCAGGCCGUUACCCCCAACCUCAAACCUCCCAGCAC